Long non-coding RNA from Clupea harengus (Atlantic herring), 1793 nucleotides. The record is from Ensembl. Lineage: Eukaryota; Metazoa; Chordata; Actinopteri; Clupeiformes; Clupeidae.
AAAUACACUUGAACUGAAUUGAUUUGGAUCACCCAAAAGUUAUUUUGGGAAUCCUUGACAUGAAUUAAAUGUGAUGAAAUAAUUAUUAAUCUCAUAAAAGCAGAAAAUAAAAACAUAAAACACACACACACACACAUACCAACACACACACACACACACAUACCAACACACACACACACACACACACACACCCACACACAAACAAACACACACACAUACAAACACACUGAGGAUAACAACUACAUUUGGAGACCACCUAACUUUAGAGUGCGCCCUAGUGAUCAAGUUCUAUCCUUAUUCUCUACACAUCUUAAAGAUCUAGGCAGGUGGGUCUUGGAGGGGGGAAUAAAGUGUUCCUGGAGCUAGCUACGGCAUGGGACAGCUUACAUUAGUUAGCUUAGCUUAAUGAAGUGUUCCUGGAGCUAGCUACGGCAUGGGACAGCUUACAUUAGUUAUCUUAGCUGAAUGAAGUGUUCCUGGAGCUAGCUACGGCAUGUGACAGCUUACAGUAGUUAGCUUAGCUGAGUGAAUUAAUUAAUUAAGAGCAUGAAUUCUGAUGACUCAUUCUCCCUGAAAGGUGCAUUUCUUACACAAACCAAACAAAUCUCACACCGUGUGUGAAACACUUUUCUUGAAUUAUGAAUUAAUUUGAAUUAUGGAUUAAAUCUUAAAUUGAUGAGAAUUUUAAUUAGAAUUGGCCCUAAAAAAAAAAGUGAAAGCCAAACAGAGCGGAACCCGAUGUGUUAGGUUCAUGGGGGUUUGUGUCAACAUGGACAUUUGACUGCAACCAUUUUGAACCUUUUAAUUAUUUAUUAAGAGUGUACUCCAAAUUUAAGGACGCUAACAAUGGAGAGCCUCCAGCUAAACAUGUCCUAGACUUCCCCUGCCGGCCCCCGAGGCAUGGCAAUGAUAAAUAAAUAAAUGUUCUUACUUAAUUCUAAUAAAUAAAACAAAAUAGAAGGAAGGUAGAAAGGUCUUUUUGAGGCUAUUAUUUGACACUUUCUGUAGUAAGCCUGAGCCAAGACAUAAACAAAGCUGACUGUAAUAGAUUAUUGAUUUAAAGCUUCAGACACAAGCACUUUACUUCUAAAAGUAGACUUUUUCUACUUUGUCCCAUUGUGGACCUGUCUCUCUCAGGCUAGCGUCCUUGUUGUCUCUCUCAUGCUACUGCCCUUGUUGUCUCUUUCAUGGCCAGUGUCCUUGCUGUCUCUCUCUCUCUCAUGGCCAGUGUCCUUGCUGUCUGUCCUUGCUGUCUCUCUCUCUCAGGCUAGUGUCCUUGCUGUCUCUCUCUCUCUCAGGCUAGUGUCCUUGCUGUCUGUCUCUCUCAUGGCUAGUGUCCUUGCUGUCUCUCUCUCUCAUGGCCAUGUCCUUGCUGUCUCUCUCUCUCAUGGCCAGUGUCCUUGCUGUCUCUCUCAUGGCUAGCAUCCUCUGGUCUACUUUACCCUUACACAACACAGCUCUGUGAUGGACUACUAUACCCUUACACAACACAGCACUGUGAUGGACUACUUUACCCUUACACAACACAACACAGCUCUGUGAUGGACUACUAUACCCUUACACAACACAGCUCUGUGAUGGACUACUAUACCCUUACACAACACAGCUCUGUGAUGGACUACUAUACCCUUACACAACACAGCUCUGUGAUGGACCCCUAGACUCCGGAGACUCACUCGACAAACACAAGGCACUGGCAAAGCUGCCCGCGGCGGGUCAGAGGGUAGUGCCAAGGCAAGGCAGACGCCAUGCUGGAGAGCCAGGGCAAAGGGGGGAUGGGAAGGGUAUGUGGG